RNAcentral lists this ribosomal RNA (301 nucleotides) under uncultured bacterium. RNAcentral describes it as "partial 16S ribosomal RNA". It matches the Rfam family "Bacterial small subunit ribosomal RNA", at positions 509 to 807 of the family's 1533-position model. The record is from RNAcentral.
CAGCAGCCGCGGGAAUACGUAGGGUGCAAGCGUUGAUCGGAAUUACUGGGCGUAAAGGACGCGUAGGCGGAUUAUCAAGUCUCUUGUGAAAUCUAACGGCUUAACCGUUAAACUGCUUGGGAAACUGAUAAUCUAGAGUAAGGGAGAGGCAGAUGGAAUUCUUGGUGUAGGGGUAAAAUCCGUAGAUAUCAAGAAGAAUACCUAUUGCGAAGGCGAUCUGCUGGAACUUAACUGACGCUAAUGCGUGAAAGCGUGGGGAGCAAACAGGAUUAGAUACCCCAGUAGUCCCUGUCUCUUAUAC